Brassica rapa (field mustard) is the source of this 1592-nucleotide RNA transcript. It is a transcript of the gene named AT-rich interactive domain-containing protein 5, with no coding region annotated. Lineage: Eukaryota; Viridiplantae; Streptophyta; Magnoliopsida; Brassicales; Brassicaceae. The record is from RefSeq and is a predicted model, not a curated record.
UUUAUAUGGGCCAUAAGAGGUCCAACUUCUUUCGUAAUACCAGAAAGGCCCAUUAAAGCGAACUGUUAAAUCUUUCGUUUUAACCCCAUAAUGUUUUUAAUUUGAUCAAUUGGCUCCCUUCUUCUCCGCCGGCGUCCUUCAAUUUCCUCCGGCUUCUAAACCAAAAACACCUUCCGUCUCCCGCGUCCGUUUUACUCCGGUUUGUAGCAAUGGCGGACACCGAAAUGGAAGAGCAAGAUGUUGCUUCUGAGGAUAAGACUCUUACUUUGGACUCUGAUCUUCAUUUGCCUGAUGCUCCCAUUGCUGAUGUUGAUCAGUCUGAGAAGAAGAUUAGCAGUGAUGGUGGCCAAGAGGAAUCCUCAUCAACUCCUCAAGUUGCUGUUGAGAGUGUUAAGAAGUGGAAGACUUGGUUGCUCACUGACUCUGAGGUUGAUGAAGCAGGGAGACCAGAGGAUCAACAGGCGUUUAUUAAAGAAGUUGAGGCUUAUAACAAGGAGAAUUUCUUGGAUUUUAAAGCUCCCAAGUUUUAUGGACAGCCCUUAAACUGUCUCAAGCUAUGGCGAGCCGUCAUCAAGUUAGGUGGCUAUGACGUGGUCACUGCGUCUAAGCUAUGGCGGCAAGUUGGAGAAUCCUUCAAUCCUCCCAAGACAUGCACUACAGUCUCCUGGACAUUCCGCAUUUUCUAUGAGAAGUCACUCUUGGAGUAUGAAAAGCAUUUAAGGCAAAAUGGUGAGCUUAACCUUCCUGGUUUACCUGUUCUUCCACCUGCUGGCCUUGAAAAAGAGGCUAUCAGCCACCAAGGCUCUGGGUCAGGCAGGGCACGAAGAGAUGCUGCAGCUCGUGCUAUGCAAGGUUGGCAUUCUCAGCGCCUUCUUGAAUCUGGAGAUGUUACUGAGCCUAUUGUUAAGGAUAAAGGCUUGAGUUCUACCCCAAAGCAAAAGAACCUCAAAAACAUUGGGGUGCAUAAACAAAAAACACCAAGCGGCAUGGACCUUGUUUUAUCACAUGAAACAGACAAACAGUCAAUCGCCGAGGUUAUAGAUGUUGGACCACCUGCAGACUGGGUGAAGAUAACUGUCAGAGAAACUGUGAGUACCUCAGCCUCACAUAUAAAGACUGCUUUGAGAUAUUUGCACUGAUACCUGGACUUCUUCGUGAAGAGGUUCGAGUUCAGUCAGACCCUGCAGGGCGGCUGGUUAUAGCAGGCCAGCCUGAACAACUUGACAAUCCUUGGGGAAUCACACCCUUCAAAAAGGUUGUGAAUUUUCCAGCAAGAAUCGAUCCGCUGCACACAUCAGCGGUCGUGAGCCUGCACGGUCGACUGUUCGUGCGUGUCCCAUUUGAGCAGUGAAAGGAAUCUCAUCUCAAAAGUGAUGAGCUCGUUCUUUUUCUCUAUGUUUCUUCAGUGAUUUCGACGACCUCUAUCUUUCUUUAGAGAUUCGUUUGUAUCAGAAGGAACUAAAAACGUUAGCAAAUGUGAUAAUGUUACUGUUAACUUGAGUUCAGAAGAUUGAAGUAGAAAUGCGAACAAAACAUUGAUGUAUUGUCUUCCAUUAAAGUUAGUAGGAAUGUUAUGGUUUUCUAAGCAUGUA